UAACAAGGAUUCCCCUAGUAACUGCGAGUGAAGCGGGAAAAGCUCAAAUUUAAAAUCUGGCAGUUUCACUGUCCGAGUUGUAAUCUGGAGAAGCAUUUUCCGCGUCGGACCGUGUACAAGUCUCUUGGAAUAGAGCGUCAUAGAGGGUGAGAAUCCCGUCCAUGACACGGACCACCGAUGCUUUGUGAUAUGCUCUCGAAGAGUCGAGUUGUUUGGGAAUGCAGCUCAAAAUGGGUGGUAGAUUCCAUCUAAAGCUAAAUAUUGGCGAGAGACCGAUAGCGAACAAGUACCGUGAGGGAAAGAUGAAAAGCACUUUGGAAAGAGAGUUAAACAGUACGUGAAAUUGUUGAAAGGGAAACGCUUGAAGUCAGUCGCGUUGUCUGAGACUCAGCCUUGCUUUGCUUGGUGUACUUCUCAGUUAACGGGUCAACAUCAAUUUUGGUUGGUGGAUAAAGGUAGAGGAAAUGUGGCACCUUCGGGUGUGUUAUAGUCCUUUGCUGCAUACACUGACUGGGAUUGAGGAUCGCAGCACGCCACUAUGGCCGGGGGUUCGCCCCACGUAACGUGCUUAGGAUGUUGGCAUAAUGGCUUUAAGCGACCCGUCUUGAAACACGGACCAAGGAGUCUAACAUGCUUGCGAGUGUUAGGGUGGAAAACCCUUGCGCGUAAUGAAAGUGAAAGUUGGGACCCUUCUGGGGGCACCGACGCCCGGCCCUGAAGUUUACUGACGGUGCUGCGGUAGAGCACGUAUGUUGGGACCCGAAAGAUGGUGAACUAUGCCUGAAUAGGGUGAAGCCAGGGGAAACUCUGGUGGAGGCUCGUAGCGAUUCUGACGUGCAAAUCGAUCGUCGAAUUUGGG
This 859-nucleotide ribosomal RNA is filed under the name Xylodon crystalliger. RNAcentral describes it as "partial large subunit ribosomal RNA". It matches the Rfam family "Eukaryotic large subunit ribosomal RNA", at positions 66 to 915 of the family's 3401-position model. Lineage: Eukaryota; Fungi; Basidiomycota; Agaricomycetes; Hymenochaetales; Schizoporaceae. The record is from RNAcentral.